Molecule: long non-coding RNA, 2396 nt
Organism: Coregonus clupeaformis (lake whitefish)
Lineage: Eukaryota; Metazoa; Chordata; Actinopteri; Salmoniformes; Salmonidae
Exons: 5
Source: RefSeq, a predicted model, not a curated record
CUGCUGGAGUGACGUCACUGCAGGAGAGAACUGUCAGAGGAGGAAGCAUUUAGAGAAAAAACUCUAUGCUCUCAGGGUAGUGAGAGCAACAGAGGCACGGAGGAGAGCCACAAUGGAUAAACUAACGGGCCACGGGAGGAGCGCGCUUUGAUGUAUAAUCCGUAGAGAGAUACCAUCUCGUAUUCCAUUCACGAGAGACAAGUGAAAUAACGGUUAAGGGAUCUCACAACCUCGGAAAUAAACCACCAAUUCAACAUGGAUCGUUCCAAAACAGAUUCGGGGUUUGACCAUCGACAGCGCCUUUUAGAAACCGGCUGCCUCGGCGGCUGCCUCCGCGUGCUUCGAAGGCGGACUUGGGAUGAGAAGCGUUUAUCGUUUUCUGUACAGACACAUGUCCUCUCUUCAUAGGUAAAUAAUCGGAUUUCAUUUCCUCGGUAAAAACCUAUUCUAUAGGCUAGCCAUAUGCUUCUCAUCCUAUACCGGAACCCUAACUGCUGCCUUCCACGCGGAUGCGCAGCCCUCCAUUGGAUGGCAAAAGAACCAGGAAAAAUUUCCUCGCAUUGAAAAGUGGAACCCAUACGAUACUCUGGCACUAUGCUUCGAGAAGGAGUCGGUUGCUAUCUUUGGUUAUCUAGCUGUAUGAGUGUUACUUGGCCGUCAUAAAGCUAGCUAACCGAAAGUAGGAAUGUCAUCCAAACUGCGACUCGGACAGUAAUAAAUUGUGUCUGGAAGUAAAGACACAAAAUAACAUAAUUGAUAUGCAAUUACAGCCCAAUACCGCAGUGCCUUUCCGGUUGAUCCAGCGCCCUUGUCACUGCAGUGGCUGCCUGAGAGACACCCAGAAACUCUGCAGUAUGAACAACACAUGCUGUCUACUCAAUGGUAAUUGUGACUGCCAGCCAUUCACACCAGGUAUGGAUUGAGCGAGGGGAAAGUGGCACAGUCGUCACAAAAAAAGAGAAAGCAGGAGGGGAAGAAAAAGGCCGACCCCCUUGUCCCUCUUUCCUUAAAUCUCCAUCACCGGAAGCCUUUGGUGCCAUCUGUGCCCCCGGAGAAAAGGACAGGCGAGAUGCCUCCACCCUGUGCCAACGGGGACAAAGGAGCUGCCAGUUAGAGCGGCCCCCCUCGCAGGCAGCCAGAGGACUCUGUGUGACUGACUGGGGCUGAGCUAUGGAAGCCAUCUUGAUGGAGAGUCUUGCUGCUGCUCCUAAAAUGGCUGUGUUGGCAUGAGGUCCUGAUGGUGUUGACAACCUCCAGGGGAAGCCUCUUCCAUCCAGCCCUGUGCCCUGAGCCCUGAGCCCUGAGCCCUGAGCCCUGAGCCCUGAGCCCUGAGCCCUGAGCCCUGAGCCCUGAGCCCUGAGCCCUGAGCCCUGAGCCCUGAGCCCUGAGCCCUGACAGUCAGUCUAGAAGCACCAGUGGGAAGAGCAUGUCAGAAGCCAGGAUGUCACGCAAGGCCUUCCUCAUUGGCAUCUUCUCCAGUCAAACACUGAGAAAUUAGGGCACUGAAUAAUCCCCAGUAAAGUUAACAGACAAUGCUUGGAGAGAUUUACUGUAAAGACAAUGUUUGGAGAUAUUUUAAGACAUUGUUUGCAGAAGUUGCACACUGAUUAUCUGCAGAUAUAUUGCACUUGGGUAAUCAAUGUUCUCUUUGUCCCCGGCUGAGAGUGUAUAGUUUCAACAGAACUUUAACAUUACAGCAAAAUGUAAAACAAUGUGUGUAUGAUGUGAAAUCAAAAAGGGAUGUGAUCAACAUGUGUUCAUACCUUCAUUUAAGGACAGGUGUGUGUGUGCGUAUGUGCUUUGGUGCCUAUUGUACUCUGGAGUGUAUUGUGCUUCGGAGCAGCACUCUAGUGCCCUAAUGUGUGGUCUGUUUACAAGAGAAGCUCUCUGGAUGUCUAUCCUCUGUCAUGUGCAAUGAAUCACUUUAUGAUUAGACCUCACUACCCUAUGCAAAUACAUGUGAAUGACUCACCCUCUGGCUGUGUUGCAUGUUUAAUGUUUGACUGUCACAGAGAAAAGAAAGACAUUGUUUGGUGAAGAUUCCAUCCAUUUGCUGUAUAUGCAUCAAAAGCUGAAUUUUUCGUAUUACAAAUAUGAUCUGCAUGUGUUCAUAGUGAUCAGGGAAUGUUCAACAUAAAAUGUGUUGGAUACGGUAUUGAAGCAGUCAGAUUAAUAGCCGUCUCAUUCCCUUAUUAUUAUUAUUAUUAUUAUUAUUAUUAUUAUCAUUAUUCAGAGAGAUAGACUGUUUCAAACAUACGUGCAAUAAAGAAAGUGACACAUACUUGUACACAAACUUCAUACAAAACAUGUUUUUGUAAUUGAGUUCUGACUUGUCAUGACUUCUGUUGCUGUUUGAGUUGAAUGUGUAUACAGAAUAAAUAAUACAUCAGAUUUUU